This 458-nucleotide ribosomal RNA is filed under the name uncultured bacterium. RNAcentral describes it as "bacterial SSU rRNA". It matches the Rfam family "Bacterial small subunit ribosomal RNA", at positions 340 to 786 of the family's 1533-position model. The record is from RNAcentral.
UACGGAAGGCAGCAGUGGGGAAUAUUGCACAAUGGGCGAAAGCCUGAUGCAGCUAUGCCGCGUGUAUGAAGAAGGCCUUAGGGUUGUAAAGUACUUUCAUCGGGGAGGAAAAAACAAAACUAAUAAUUUUAUUUCUUGACGUUACCCGAAAAAGAAGCACCGGCUAACUCCGUGCCAGCAGCCGCGGUAAUACGGAGGGUGCUAGCGUUAAUCAGAAUUACUGGGCGUAAAGAGCACGUAGGUGGUUUUUUAAGUCAGAUGUGAAAUUCCCUGGGCUUAACCUAGGAACUGCAUUUUGAAACUGAAAUACUAGAGUAUCGUAGAGGGAGGUAGAAUUCUAGGUGUAGCGGUGAAAUGCGUAGAUAUCUGGAGGAAUACCUGUGGCGAAAGCGGCCUCCUAAACGAAUACUGACACUGAGGUGCGAAAGCGUGGGGAGCGAAACAGGGAUUAGGAUACC